GAUGAACGCUAGCGGCAGGCUUAACACAUGCAAGUCGAGGGGUAACGAUGGUGCUUGCAUCAGGCGACGACCGGCGAACGGGUGCGUAACGCGUAUAGAAUCUGCCUUGUACAGGAGGAUAGCCUUUAGAAAUGAAGAUUAAUACUCCAUAAUGUUAUUUGGUGGCAUCAUUAAAUAAUUAAAGAUUUAUCGGUACAAGAUGACUAUGCGUCCUAUUAGUUAGUUGGUAAGGUAACGGCUUACCAAGGCAGCGAUAGGUAGGGGGUCUGAGAGGAUUAUCCCCCACACUGGUACUGAGACACGGACCAGACUCCUACGGGAGGCAGCAGUGAGGAAUAUUGGACAAUGGGCGCAAGCCUGAUCCAGCCAUGCCGCGUGCAGGAAGACGGCCCUAUGGGUUGUAAACUGCUUUUAUACAGGAAGAAACACCAAUACGUGUAUUGGCUUGACGGUACUGUAAGAAUAAGCACCGGCUAACUCCGUGCCAGCAGCCGCGGUAAUACGGAGGGUGCAAGCGUUAUCCGGAAUCAUUGGGUUUAAAGGGUCCGCAGGCGGUCGAUUAAGUCAGAGGUGAAAUCCCAUAGCUUAACUAUGGAACUGCCUUUGAUACUGGUUGACUUGAGUCAUAUGGAAGUAGAUAGAAUAAGUAGUGUAGCGGUGAAAUGCAUAGAUAUUACUUAGAAUACCGAUUGCGAAGGCAGUCUACUACGUAUGUACUGACGCUCAUGGACGAAAGCGUGGGGAGCGAACAGG
RNAcentral lists this ribosomal RNA (753 nucleotides) under uncultured bacterium. RNAcentral's name for it is "bacterial SSU rRNA". It matches the Rfam family "Bacterial small subunit ribosomal RNA", at positions 28 to 776 of the family's 1533-position model. The record is from RNAcentral.